UGUCGGGGGUCCGGCGGCGUGCCGGUGCGGCGGAGUGGCUGCCCGCGGGGCGCGGCGCCGCUGUCCCGCCGGCCGGGAGAGGGGUUCGGCCGGCGGCGGAACCUGGCGGGGCCGGCGGCAGUUGGCUCUCGGCCGCGGGGCUCGACUUCCUGGUGCCGGGUCAGCAAAACAGGAAGUGUGAAUGUGUGGACAUAACACCCAGAGGAUGCAGCUGAAAAGCUCUAUGAGAACUGGAGCCAAGGUGCGCUAUGUGUACUGCCAGACCACCUGGACGAGUUCAGGUCAUGGAGAUUUCAAAGGCAGAAUUUAUAAACAAAGACGUUUAAGCUUUCAACAUAAAGUGCAGAAGACAGUGGAAUGAGUUUGGGGAACAGUCAGGGUGGUACAAGAUGCUCAAAGGUAUCUCUGUGACCUUUCUUGAAGUCCACCAACAAGGCCUAACGAACAGUGGGUUGGAGCAGACUGAGGAGCUGGUGAGGACUUCCAGCAGACCAUCCAAAUAGCUGGAAAUGGCUCGAUGCAGCUCACACCCUAUGGGUUUAAGAGGAGAACGUGAUUCGAUUCAUGUCAGUAGGACUUACGGAUCUUUGGCACUGAUGUAAAGGCCUGAUGCACGUGGCCUUGUGCAGCCGGCCCAAUCGCUUCACUCUAGUCCUGUCCCGAGGGUGUGACUCCAGUACACAGGCCACUACCUUGAUCCCUCAGAAGAUGCAGUCCAUAGAAGCAGUCAGACCACAAUCUGCCACGUUUCUGAAUCAGUCCCAGAUGUCCUGGGGCAUCUGUAGAGCUCUGAAAAGUGGAGGGCAAUAGGUGCAUGUCAUCUUUGAAUUAUAUCAUCAGUGGUUCAAAUAAUGUCAUGUAGAUGCUCAGUGUAGGACCAGCCUCUAAAAAUAUUGUAGGGUAAGACAGUAAGGAAUUCCUUCAAGUUCUAUUAAUACAAAGUUGGUAAAUGUUUUCUCCCUUCCCCCAACUUAUUUGAAGGUAUUUAAAAAGAAAGAGAAAAACCCCACAGAACAACCUUUUCCCCUAUGAAAAGAUUAUACAAAAAGGAAACAUCUGAUUUAAUUUACAUUGUCCUUGUGUUUGGGGAUUUUCUUUUUUUUGUUGUUGUUGGAAAUUUGGAUUCCAAAAAUUUAUGCAAAAUGAGCAAUCUCUGUUUGGAAGUGCUAUCACAGAAGAUCAAGAGAAGGUACUGAUAAUGCCUCAUGUUUCCACUUUGCUCUAUAGGAUAAGCACCUCCAUCUUAUAUAUUUCUUCUUAGGGAGGAGAAAUGGUGCACAGAUCCCACAUCUGUCUUGGCCUCCCUCUUUUCCUCCUAUUUCUUCUUUCCAUUAUCAACUGUUCUGGUGGGUUUCAAAUUCACCUUCUCCUGUCAAAGCAUUAGUGUAAAUAAAACAAAAUUUAGUUUUAUAAAUGCAUAAUAGACUCUAGCAGCCUAGUGAAAUACAAUCUUACCUGUAAUGUAAAUAAUUUGGAAAAAUAAAAAAAGUGCUGUAUUACCCUUAAUAGCUGCUGUGCAUAUUAGAUUGAGGAGGCAUAGCAUGAACUCAUCAGUUCUGCCCUGAAAGAACUAAUACGAAGAAGGGUCGGAGUAGAAUAAAUACACUGCUUUAUAAGACGAAAAAACAAAGACAGGUUGAUAGUAUCAUUUGAAAUAAGUCACGGUUUUAUGCAUCCUCCUUCCCACUGAUAAGAUACGUAAGAUAUGUACAAAAUCUACCUUAGAAAGCAUAAGAAGGAAAGGAACUCACUCUCUCAUCAUAUAGUCACGAAGAGGGAAAGAAAAAGCUCCAGCUUUUAGGUUCCCUUUUUUUAGGUUCCAGCCUCCCUACAUCUCUAGAUCUACUGUUAGUCACAUGUUUUAAAUGUUGUUAUGUAUAGAUCAGGAAAGAAAUUUCAGGCCUGUCACUGAAGUGGAAGUUCUUAUACAAAGGGCUGUGAGCCGCAUUAGCCAGCUAGCGUUCAUGCUCAGCAACGGAUUUUCUGCUUUGGGCCAGCUUGACUCCCAGACUAUGUCUCUACUGCUGAAUUAAACAUGGCUGCAAGACAGUGCAGCAGUACUGAGGCCAGCUGGUGCGCUAAGAGUCCAUGUCUGUGCUGUUAAAUUCUCUUGGCAUCCAGAACAUGGGGACUACACCAAACUGGUGUUUGAGUAGUCCCUGGCCCAGGUUAACUUCCAGAUCAGCUCUGGAAAUUUGCUGAGAGUGGUAAGCAGCCUGGGCCAGGGAUCAAUCCUGCAAUUUGUCAGUAGGCUCAGAGGAGCAUCCAGGAAAGUUUCCUUGGGCACUGUUAAUUACCGGCCUAUACGUAGCCCUAUAGACUCCAGACCAACCCAGCUACACAGCUGUGUAGGUAGCUGCUGGUCAUUGUUUGGAUUGUGUCCAAGAGUAUGAAGUGGCACAGACUGCAGGGGAGAGUGGCCCUGGGCAGUAAAUCAAACUUGGUCACAGACAAUGAAAACAGACAGCAGAUUUCACUCUGUGUUUUUAUAUAUUCCUUAAUCCCAUCUUUGCUGAGCACUUUCUACAGUAUGCUUGAACCCAAAAGCAGAGCAGUAAUAGAAGAAUACUGGUUAGCCAUGUAAAUAUAGGUAGCACAGCCAGAGCAGUAAUUUGAGAGAGAUCCUGAGGGAUACUUGGGUUCAUUCAAUAAAAAAAAGGGAAGGGACAAGAUCACUUUAUUCAAAAACAGGUUUACAAAUAUUUAAAUUCUCCGUAGAAGAACAGGGAAAGAGAGAGCAAAGGUACAUAAAACUAAAACAUUAAGACAUCUGGCUUUUUUGAAUGAGCCAGUGUUUUGGAAACUCAUUCUCAAUUUGUUGACUCAGUAAAACGUCUUUUUCUAGAAAUUCCAGCAUUUACAUGGUCACCGCUUGCAUUGUUUUUCUGUAUUUUAUUGCUUCCUCAAGGGAUUAUCAUUAAGUAGUUGAAGUCUAAAUUGUUAACCUGCUUUGGAAUAAUGUAGCAAUUUUUAAACAAGUAAUAAAGAGUGGAUUAUAAAAAUGA
This is a non-coding RNA of Phalacrocorax carbo (great cormorant), 3005 nucleotides long. The record is from RefSeq and is a predicted model, not a curated record. NCBI's taxonomy places the organism in Eukaryota, Metazoa, Chordata, Aves, Suliformes, Phalacrocoracidae.